This 1728-nucleotide unclassified non-coding RNA is filed under the name Daphnia magna. RNAcentral describes it as "putative protein TPRXL, transcript variant X3". The record is from RNAcentral. Lineage: Eukaryota; Metazoa; Arthropoda; Branchiopoda; Diplostraca; Daphniidae.
UCCAUGGAAUCUCGCAUGGAGUGGUAUCGCAGUAGUGGAUGCCAAAAUUAGUUAGUGGAUGCCAAAAUUACAGGUAAAUUCAUCCACUAGAUGUCCUGUAGACAUCCUGCACUGUCAUCUAGUGAAUCUGAAAAUCUAGUUCUUCAAGGCACAACCGAAUUCAACAGGCCCUAAUUGGAGAAAGACAUCUGGUGGACAAAUAUUCUACUACUUAAAUAUUUGAUCUAUUGUUAUCAUAUAACGUGUGAUACAACUGAUACAUAGAAGUAAUAAGUGAUAUCCAAGUUUGUGAUCUCCCCUAUUUUUUGUGUUUCCAAGGAUAAUCGAUACAGAAAUAAUGGCAAGCUACUGAACCUUAAAACUGUGAGCAAUCCACAUCAAUCUUUUCCACCAUGCCAUUGCUAACCAAUGUUGUUUUUAAACUACUAUCAAGCUUGUGAGACAAAAGCAAAAAAAGAUAAUGCUUGAGUACUUCUUAUUGGUUCAUGGCCUCAUGUUGUAGUUUAAUGGUAUACCUACACGACAAGUGCUGAAUAGUUAUUCCGUUUGUGGAGUACUGUCAAACAUCACCAUUUCUGAAUCCUUCCCCUCAUCUCUACUUAGCACAAGUAUUUCCAGACUUCAACAACAUAACCAAAUUUUGGACUGCAAAAUUUUAUUAUCUUUCUGCUGCUAAAUUAACACCUAAACCUAACAAGUGCAGCACAUUCAUCUUAGCAUGUCGAGAAUCUACCGUAACCUUGCCAGAAGCUUUCUCCCCAUCCCUACUUAGCCAGCUUGCAAGCAUAGGGUUCAACACCAUCAUCCCAUUUGGACUGCAGAUCUUCCUUCUACGCAAAAUCGCCGUCGGGACUAUUUCUGCAUUCAUCUUCUCCAGUGGGCCACACAUUUCAGAACUACUCUGUCUUCUUCGGCCUUCCCGUACAAAGUCAACCAUUGGGAUUCCGGCCUUGCUGUCUUCUUCCUUCGCCUUCUCUUCAUCGCUCUUCGUCGACGCCUUCUCCUCAUCGCUCUUCGUCGACGCCUUCUCCUCAUCGCUCUUCGUCGACGCCUUCUCCUCAUCGCUCUUCGUCGACGCCUUCUCCUCAUCGCUCUUCGUCGACGCCUUCUCCUCAUCGCUGUUUUCGUCUACGCCAAUGCCUUUGCCGCAUCGCCAUCCUCUAGCCAUCUAUCCGUAAGACCAAAUAGGGUGCAGCUCAGCAGAAAGCCCAAGGCGAUGGAAGCAGUUCAUCGUGGAACGUCGCCCUGGUAUUGUUUUCUUUUGUAUUGUAUUGUAUUGUAUCGUAUCAUGUAAGUUAACCCGUUGGCUGCCACCCCGUUUGCGUCCCAUUUUUUUUGUAGCUUUUAGGGACCGGGCGCUGUUCUGCCCCGUGGCCAGGGGGGGAACAGUCGCCGCGCCUUUAGGCGCCGUAGGCAAUGCACCAGUAGGGACUCUCUUUGUCGGCGCGGUGAUAGAUUCCUGGGGUGUGCAUUCCCGGAAUGGUUUCUAUCACCGUGUCAGCCCGGACUUGUCUUCGGACAAGUCCCACCUUGUUCGUGGAUCCAUCUGACGCGAAGCGUAGCAACUGUAGUAAAGCAACCUACGGGUUGCAUGGCCUGGCAGCCAACGGGUUAACUAGUUAGUUGUAUGUUGUAUGUAUUUAUAUAUGUAUUAAUUUAUGUUGUGUUAUGUAAAAAAGUGGUGGAAUUGAUGGGUGGAGGUGGGACAAUAAAAAUAAUUCCUGUUAA